GUAAUACGGAGGGUGCAAGCGUUAUCCGGAAUCAUUGGGUUUAAAGGGUCCGCAGGCGGACUUAUAAGUCAGUGGUGAAAGCCUACAGCUUAACUGUAGAACUGCCAUUGAUACUGUAAGUCUUGAAUUCGGUCGAAGUGGGCGGAAUAUGUCAUGUAGCGGUGAAAUGCUUAGAUAUGACAUAGAACACCGAUAGCGAAGGCAGCUCACUAGGCCUGGAUUGACGCUCAGGGACGAAAGCGUGGGGAGCGAACAGGAUUAGAUACCCUGG
This 271-nucleotide ribosomal RNA is filed under the name Protocruzia adhaerens. RNAcentral describes it as "Protocruzia adherens partial Bacterial small subunit ribosomal RNA". It matches the Rfam family "Bacterial small subunit ribosomal RNA", at positions 520 to 790 of the family's 1533-position model. The record is from RNAcentral. Lineage: Eukaryota; Ciliophora; Spirotrichea.